RNAcentral lists this ribosomal RNA (429 nucleotides) under uncultured bacterium. RNAcentral describes it as "bacterial SSU rRNA". It matches the Rfam family "Bacterial small subunit ribosomal RNA", at positions 355 to 776 of the family's 1533-position model. The record is from RNAcentral.
UCGAGAAUCUUUCGCAAUGGGCGAAAGCCUGACGAAGCGACGCCGUGUGAACGAAGAAGGCCUUCGGGUUGUAAAGUUCUUUUGCCUGGGAGCAAUAGAAGUCUAUGAAUAAUAGGCUAAUUUGAGAGUACCAGGAGAAUAAGCACUGGCUAACUCCGUGCCAGCAGCUGCGGUAAUACGGAGGGUGCAAGCAUUAAUCGGACUUACUGGGCGUAAAGGGUGCGUAGGCGUCUUGAUAAGUCGUGCGUGAAAUACUGGGGCUUAACCUCAGCAGUGCGCUCGAUACUAUUAAGAUGGAGGGAAAACGGGGAAAAUGGAAUUCUGCAAGUAGCGGUGAGAUGCGUAGAUAUGCAGAGGAACACCGGUGGUGAAGACGGUUUUCUAGUUUUUUCCUGACGCUGAGGCACGAAAGCAAGGGGAGCAAACAGG